This 839-nucleotide ribosomal RNA is filed under the name uncultured eukaryote. RNAcentral's name for it is "SSU rRNA". It matches the Rfam family "Eukaryotic small subunit ribosomal RNA", at positions 635 to 1426 of the family's 1831-position model. The record is from RNAcentral.
CGGUGUUCAACUGGCGUGCCCGCGGGACGUCCUGCCGGUGAGCUCAGCCCGCGAGGGCGGCUCAACUUGAAAUCCCAUCGCGGUGCUCUUCAUUGAGUGUCGAGGUGGGCCGGCACGAUUACUUUUGAACAAAUUAGAGUGCUUAAAGCAGGCUAAAAUUUUGCCUGAAUACUGUGUAUAUGGAAUAAUGGAAUAGGACCUCGGUUCUAUUUUGUUGGUUUUCGGAACCCCGAGGUAAUGAUUAAUAGGAACGGAUGGGGGCAUUCGUAUUGCGACGUUAGAGGUGAAAUUCUUGGAUCGUCGCAAGACGGACUAAAGCGAAAGCAUUUGCCAAAAACGCUUUUAUUGAUCAAGAACGAAAGUUAGAGGUUCGAAGGCGAUCAGAUACCGCCCUAGUUCUAACCAUAAACUAUGCCAGCUAGCGAUCCGCCGACGUCCCUCUGAUGACUCGGCGGGCAGCUUCCGGGAAACCAAAGCUUUUGGGUUCCGGGGGAAGUAUGGUUGCAAAGCUGAAACUUAAAGGAAUUGACGGAAGGGCACCACCAGGAGUGGAGCCUGCGGCUUAAUUUGACUCAACACGGGAAACCUCACCAGGCCCAGACACUGGAAGGAUUGACAGAUUGAGAGCUCUUUCUUGAUUCAGUGGGUGGUGGUGCAUGGCCGUUCUUAGUCGGUGGAGCGAUUUGUCAGGUUAAUUCCGAUAACGGACGAGACUCUGACCUGAUAACUAGACGCACUUGCGGCAUCUCAAAGGUCCGCCGGCGGCUGGCUUUGCGCCCGUCGUCGCGCGCGAUUUUUACUGCCGGCGUACAAUAAAUUCUUCUUAGAGGGACAAGUGG